CCGGAUAUUACACGAAUUCGAAUUCGGAUAUGAUGUAAUUCAGUUUGAAUUCGAUUCGUUUACAGGCCUACGAACAUGGUCACUACACCAGCAACUAGGGCUUCGGAUAGCCCAAGGUGAAUUGAGAUACCCAUAUAGGUUGGGGGAGGUUCCAAGUCGACUUAUGGGAAGGUCGACUUUACCCAGGUCUACUUUUUCAGAGAUCGACUUUCCUAGAGAUCGAUUUUCAGAAGUCGCUCUGGAUAAAGUCAACCUCUAGAAAAGUCGAAUCCAGAAAGUCCAGUUGGAACCAGAUCUGAGCAGUUAGACAGUUACGACCCUAAUGAUCAAAUUUUACCCUAAUGAGCAAAAGGUCAGUCCCAUUCAUUUGGGCAGGUUGAAUUUCAGAGAGAAGUUUCAGCGAAGCAGAGUAAAAGAAACUGAAUAGUUCGAACUGAUUUUCUUGAGGAGUUUCCAGCUUGACGCUUGUUCAAACAUCGUCGAGCAAUGAUCGGGUUCCACCCUCAUCACAAAUAUAAAUAUGAUUUGGUAAUAACAUUCACUUUCAUCUUUAUUUGGUUCAAAUACAGACUCAACAACAUAAGUUAUCCAUCAAUUCUUUAUAAAACAAAAAUAUCUGAAUUUUUGAUAUUCUUCCAAAUUUAAACAGAUUAAAUUUAAAUAUAUUCUGUUAUUUUCUGUUUGUAUCAUUCAAAUUUAGACGUUGAUAAAAACAUGUUUGCGGCCAUAUACCCAAUUUCAAAUCUGCUCCUCAUAUGGCGGCCAUAUAUAAAAACCAAAAUUUCACAUGUUUCCAGUCAAUGUAGACGUUAAUAUUUACGAUAUUGAAAUCUGUUUAUGAAGUUUGUUGUCAUUUUCUAUUUUUAUCCUAAAAUUAUUUUUUUUACACACCGGCCCGUGACCCACCUCAUUUUCACCUUUGUUUUAGCCACAUAAAAAAUAGGUAAUAAAUAAAUAUCUAUCUUUUCUAUUUAUCAUAUCUUACAAUAUAUAUAUAUUCUCUUUCGACCCGACUUUAAAUUAUUCCUUACAAUGUCUUCAUCGUCAUCUACCGAAUCUUCAAUUGUAACCAGGUUUUCUUCAACAAACAAGGAAAAAGUGAGAUUCGAGGACUCUUCAACGUUUACUAUGUCGUCAUCUACCGAAUCUUCAUGUGCAACCAGGUUUUCUUCAACAAACGAGGAAAAAGUGAGAUUCGAGGACUCUUCAAUGUUUACUAUGUCGUCAUUUACCGAGUCAUCAAAGGAAACCAGAUUUUCUUCGUCGUCGAAAAGAAAAGAUAGGAUGGAAAAUCCUUUAAGGAAGGACUAGCCCUGUCAAUCGAACGAAUUCGAACCGGAUACCCCUAUAUCCGAAUUCGAAUUCGAUUAGUAUCCGGAUAAUCCGAAUUCGUCCGAUUAGUAUUCGAAUUUCAAAAUCCGUAUCCGAAUUCGAAUUCGAUUAAAAAUAUCCGAAUUCGGAUAUCCGAAUUCGAUUCGAAUAACAUUUAUAAA
Molecule: long non-coding RNA, 1493 nt
Filed under: Zostera marina
Lineage: Eukaryota; Viridiplantae; Streptophyta; Magnoliopsida; Alismatales; Zosteraceae
Description: long non-coding RNA (ZMAR_LNC003737)
Source: RNAcentral